RNAcentral lists this ribosomal RNA (254 nucleotides) under uncultured bacterium. RNAcentral describes it as "partial 16S ribosomal RNA". It matches the Rfam family "Bacterial small subunit ribosomal RNA", at positions 524 to 776 of the family's 1533-position model. The record is from RNAcentral.
UACAGAGGGUGCGAGCGUUGUUCGGAAUUACUGGGCGUAAAGCGCGCGCAGGCGGCUCUUUAAGUCUGACGGUGAAAUGCCGGGGCUCAACCCCGUGCCCGCCGCGGAUACUGGAGGGCUGGAGACACGUAGAGGCAAGCGGAAUUCCGGGUGUAGCGGUGGAAUGCGUAGAGAUCCGGAAGAACACCGGAGGCGAAGGCGGCUUGCUGGGCGUAGUCUGACGCUGAGGCGCGAAAGCGGGGGGAGCGAACAGG